RNAcentral lists this long non-coding RNA (1710 nucleotides) under Salmo salar (Atlantic salmon). Its description in RNAcentral is "lncRNA (ENSSSAG00000082940.1, ENSSSAG00020072302.1)". The record is from RNAcentral. Lineage: Eukaryota; Metazoa; Chordata; Actinopteri; Salmoniformes; Salmonidae.
CAUGUAUCGCCUAGCCUAUUUUUCUGAGCAUACCACGUCGUUUAUUGCAAAGUGUGAUUUUCCAGUAAAGUUAUUUUUAAAUCUGGCAAUGCGGUUGCAUUCACGAGAUGUUAAUCUAUAAUUCUUUGAAUGAAAAUAUUACAUUUUAACAAUGUUUUCGAAUAGUAAUUUUGUAAAUUGUAGCGCUGAUUCACCGGAAGCAUUUGAGGGAAAGUAUUUUCUGAACGUCACGCGCCGAUGUAAAAUGCUGUUUUUAUAUAUAAAUAUGAACUUUAUCGAACAAAAAAAUGCAUGUAUUGUGUAACAUGAUGUCCUAGGAGUGUCAUCUGAGGAAGAUUGUCAAAGGUUAGUGCUGCAUUUAGCUGUGUUUUGGGUAUUUGUGAUGCAUGCUAGUUGCUUUGAAAAUGGCAGUGUGGUUAUUUCUGGCUGGGUACUCUCCUAACAUAAUCUAAUAUUUUGCUUUUGCUGUAAAGCCUUUUUGAAAUCGGACAACGUGGUUCAAUUUAGGAGAGGUGUAUCUAUAAAACGGUGUAAAAUAGUCAUAUGUUUGAGAAAUUGAAGUUAUAGCAUUUAUGAGGUUUUGUAUUUCGCGCGACGCGAUUCCACUGGCUGUUGACUAGGGUGGGACGCUUGCCCAGAGAGGUUAAACCAUAAUAAAAACAUAAAACAUGUAGUUAGGUUCUAGCUGCGGCUCCAGUUCUGACAUUAUGUGUAGGCCUAGCUGAGGCGACCCCGAAUCCCGAGUUUUGGCUCGAUAGGUCAUUCGGUGCCCGAGCAGCGACCUUAAUUGGUGCUGAAAAUCCACAUUUUCCGGGCGUUGCUAUGGGGUCCUUGAAUGAGCUAUCGGACAGAAACUUUGGGGUCCGUCUCUAUGGGCCGAGGCAGUUUCAAUGCUUAUAUUCCUGCGACUCUGGAACUUUUCUAAAUGUCGUCAUUUUCAUGAUGGUCAAAAUGAAUUGACGUUAUUGCAAAUGUACGAGGCUGUUUCUCGGUCUGAGAACCUUCUAGAGCCACAUAACUCACCAUGCACUAUCGACUUGAGCUCUAGAACAGGUUUCUAAGGUUUCAGAUCUCUAGGUCUGACAGUUCCUUGAUAGUUCAAACAAAGGUAACUAUUGCAGGCUGUGUGUGUCUGUAAGCACCACACUGUGUCACUCCGUCCUUGCUGUGUGUGUGUGUGUGUGUGUGAGCUUUUCUUGGAAAUCUUAUGGGAGAAAUGACUGAUUUACAGUACAUGAGGGUUACCUAGUCACACAUAUGAAGUUUUGGAAAGAUGUAACUUUUUUAACCCUUCAAAACUGCCACUGUGACCCCAAUUUAAGGCACUUCCGGUUGGCACAGGAAGCUUAAAGUAAACACAUAUCCUCAUUGAGGUAGGCAUUUACAUAAUCCUGAGUUUUAAGUCUUUAUGUUAAGAACUGACUGAUUUACACAGGGUUGAAUGCACUAUUUCAUACAAACUGCAGGUUGGGUAUGGCAAAACACUUUUAGGGUGAAUUUAAUCACUUCCGGUUGCUCCAGGAAGCUUAGAAUCAACACAGGUUCAUAAGGCAUUCAUAACCCACAUAGGCUUCAGGUUGAAUUAAUGUGAGCAGGCAUUGUAUGCCUAUGGGGAGAGAAGUCAUUGCAAACUGUUUGAUGUAAACACCUUCUUUUCACUGUUAAGGGUUAAUGCCACACGGUCAAGGUUAGACUUGCACAGAUCAGGAG